Molecule: non-coding RNA, 4681 nt
Organism: Salvelinus sp. IW2-2015
Lineage: Eukaryota; Metazoa; Chordata; Actinopteri; Salmoniformes; Salmonidae
Source: RefSeq, a predicted model, not a curated record
GAGUGGUUGAAAAACGAGUUUUAAUGACUACAACCUAAGUGUAUGUAAACUUCUGACUUCAACUGUAUCCCUGGGCACUAAAAACAGUGAGCUGGGGGAGUUGGGACUGGUGUCUUGGUCCUGGGUGCUUCCCCUCUCAACCUGAGCGAGGAGACCGAGGCUUACAGGAGCAUGGGGGCGACGUGGACUCACUCCGGGACCACAGGGACCAGCUGGAGAGCACGCUCCGACACACACAGGACCAGCUGCACAGGGUGACCGAGGAGAACGCCCAACUGAAAUGUAAACUCAGGGAGCAGGGAGAAACGGGGGGGGGGGGGCUGCGAGGCGGAGCAGGGCUGCUAGCUAGGAAGGAAAAGCAUGACAGGAAAUGCCCAGGAAAACAGGGUGCCAAUUCAUAACCUAAUUCCCCAGGUUAGCAGAAAGCUUACCACAACUCCAACCCAGAAUAAUACUACCCUAGUCUUAGCCGAUAAUGACCUAACCCUGUAUGCCUUAGCCCAGGAUGACCUAGCUCUAGCCUUGAACCAGGAGAACCGGGCACAGGGCAGGCGUAUCAAGGAGCUCCUGCCCCACAUAGAGAGCCGGGAUAGUGAGAGGAAGCUAGAGAGGGAGAGCUCCAGGCAGGAGAACCAGGAGCAGGGAGGUCUUAUAACUGAGCUAACCAGGAAGACAGAGGAUGACCUCAACACUAUCAUGGAGCUGCAGCAGAGACUGACUGAGAGCGGUCAGCUAGGCCUCCAACAGGGUGACCAUGGUUUGACCACUGAGAGUGUGGUCAAAAGGGUGAGCAUGUGGUCGGGUCAGUGUUCGUUCAACAGGGUCAACCCCCGGUAGGGUUCGUGACCAGUCUACAAGGUGAUCACACGCCAGGGUCGGUGAAUAGUGGUGAACUACAGGUUGACCACCAGACCGAGUCAGUUAGGGAUCAAAAGACGACCAUUUGACCACAGAGUUAGGGUCCAGGCUUAGAGAGGAGAGGGACGAGCUAAUUGGGUCUCUCAGUGAUCUCAAAGAGGAAAGGGAACAGGUUUCCCUCUCACUCAGGUGUCAGACAGGGAAGCACCAGCUAACACGCUCCGUGUGGGUUCUGAAAGAAGAACGCGACCGGGUCAAUCAGGAACUCUGUGGUUUAAAAGAAGAGAAAGAACAGCUUACAAGGUCUGAAAGAUAACAGACAAGGUGGUAUGGUCAAUGUGUGGUUUAAAGGAGGAGAGUGACCAGCUAGUUCCGUCAAGGUCUGGAAUCCAGGAGGAGAGAUACCAGCUAGUUCAGUCAAUGUCUGGUUUCUACAAGGAGAGACACCAGCUAGUUCAGUCAAUGUCUGGUUUUCAGGAGGAGAGAGACAAGCUCUCGCAGUCUUCAGUCAAGAAGAUGAGAGACCAACUAAACGAGUCACUCCACAAUCUAGAAGAAGAGAGACCAGUUGAUGCAAUCAAUGUGUGGUUUAAAGGGACAGAGAGACUAGCUAACACAGACACUCAGGCUUCUAGAGCAGGAGAGAGACAAAUUGUCAUCUCUCUGCCUUCAAACAGAAGACAGAGACCCGGUCAAGCAGUUUAAAGAAGAGCGAGAGCAGUUGGUUCAGUCAAUGGAUGUUCUGUGCGAACAGAGAGAGCAUCUCACAGCGGAGAGAGACCAGUUGCAGAUGGACGUCGCUCCUUUACGAUCAGCUGCUGUCACGGGCGGAGUCACAACCAGCAGUACUCUGAGAACCACGUUGGCAUGGCAACACACAUAUGUGGAGCCGCUGCGCCAAAUACGGAGGAUGACGUUGUUCAGAGAAGUCUGGCCACGGUCUACUCCUACAAGACCAUCCGUCUGGGGCAGUCUGCACAGGGAACACUUGGAAGAGAUGACAGAGGUGGAGCAGAAUGAACUGAUGGAGGAGAUCAAGUCAUUGGGGGCAGAACACAGAAGGUCACGAGACGAACUGGAGAAGAACCAAUCAGAGGCUCAGAGCUGAUUGUGUCUGAGGUCAGGCGAGAAGAGGCUGUGAGGAGGGCAGCACACGCAGUCAACGAAGUGAAGAGGAGGUGGAGGAGACGAAGAGGGAGAACAACACACUGAGAGCAGAAGUGAGGGAGGUGAAGAGCAGACUAGCGGGUCUGGAGAGAGAGAGAAGACUGAUGCCAACUUACUCUGGACUCCGAUAGAAGAGAACUUCAACUUGCUUCAGGCUGAACUUAAAGUACAAUGUUCUUCUGAGAAAGAAGAGCCAGACGGAUCUGGACAUAGCUGCUCUGAAGGAUCUCCCUUCCAAGACCAGACACCAGGUUUACUCCAGUCCCCCUCCAGGUCAGGGAAACUCUCCAGGUUACCCCAACCCAAACCUUGCUGCCCUCAAAUGACCCAAGCAUACCCCCAUAACAGCUACCCCUUCUACUACUACUACUACUACUACUACUACUGCCCCCGCUCGGACUGUUAAAGCACGAAGUACCACUACCUCGUUGAACACUGCCCCCACCAAAACUGCCCCUCCAACAAUUACCCUUAAAACUACAGCCCUCACUAAAGCUGCCCCCUCCACCUCUGCUCUGCCCCCCACUGAGAGGCCAUGACUGCCUGAUGAGAACCAUUGUGUCAAGAAGCUCCUCUCCAACUGCCAACCUGAACAAGCGAAAUCAAACAAACCCAGAGCCUCAUGAUUGGCUGGAUGAGCUGGGCUGCAGCAACGGAACCUUUGUGUAUGGAGACAGGAUGGGGAAUUCCACAAGUCUGUAAUGAGCUCCGCAUGCACCAAGCUGGAUCUGUCCGGUCCGGUUCACAUCAGCGUUCAGACCCUGGGCUCCAACGGUCUCUACACUGACAAGAUUCAUGUCAUCUACAGGGGGAAACCAUGCCCAGUUUAGGACAGACCACACCCCUUUCAUCAUAGACCACACCCAUGACACCACAGCUUCCGCUGCUCUUUGCACAGACCACGCCUCCCCAGACUGCAGGACUCCGCCCACACCCCGACACAGUGGCUCCACCCAAUCAAUUUUCAGCCGCACUGUCCAGUUGAAACCUUUCUCACCAGAUUCAGAAGCUCAAACGGUGAAUGGCAGACGAGGUCUGGCUCCUGUUGCCUUCCUAGAGGAAGUUCUUGUUCCAGACAGACAUGUAAGCCCCGAAGGAACAGAUGAUAGGCCACUGUGACUGCCAAUUAGAGAGAGGACAAAAUGAUAGGCCACUUUGACUGCCAAUCAGAGAGAGGACAAGAUGAUGAGCCACUGUGACUGCCAAUCAGAGAGAGGACAAGAUGAUGAGCCACUGUGACUGCCAAUCAGAGAGAAGACAAGAUGAUAGGCCACUGUGACUGCCAAUCAGAGAGAGGACAAGAUGAUGAGCCACUGUGACUGCCAAUCAAAUGAUGCUUCCCUACAGAGAGAUUAUAGUGGCCAACAUUAAUGACGUCAUCAAACGCUGCCUGCCCGUGACAAAAACAUUCAUAAGUGCUCACAGCCUAAAGUCAUUUGAAAUGGAAAGCUACACUAAAGCACUAGCUGAAAUGUGGGUGUGUUUGUGUGUAUGGCCCAGUUUGACAUUGUGCUUCUAUAAACAGAUGCUUUUAACCUACAUCCUGCUCAUUGAGAUCGUGUCAAAUCACCUCUGUGCUUCAAAAUCCCCCACUUUUCUGUGUCUAAUCUCUCGUGGACAGACGCACUUAGCAUAACUGGUAUCCUAGCGUCUGUCAGCAGACUGUGGGAUGCGACGACUAACGAGGAACUUAGUUUCCGGUGAACAGAUUUUUCGUCACUGAUUAUUUUGGACAAAUCACGAUUUCGCAUCUUUCCAUUUUCAGAAGAGGAGGGGACAUUUGGAACAUGGACUUGCCUGUAAAUUGCAACUGGAGAGGAGCCGGCCUGCGUCCCCUCCACGUUCUAGUAUUUAUUUCUAACACAUCUGUCCCCAGAACUUAAUCAAGCAUCUGACACAAUUACGCAAUAUUUUAGUUUUGGGUUUCUGAGAUUAUUCUGUAUGUGACAAGUGUCAAAAACAAAGGUGGGCCUGAUUGAUGUGACAACCUGUCUGUCUGACAACCUGUCUAACAAUCCGUCUGAAAGCCUCUCGAACAUGGCGGUGAUAUCAAGUGAUAAUGUUUUACGUUAUGAUAAAGCAAAGUCAUUUUCACAAGGCCAUUUUACUUGAUCUUUAGGUAUUGAGCCAAAUAUGGGGAAAAAGCUUCAUUCCAAAGACUUUGAUAUUUCUGUUCCUCGUCGUUACGUUUACAGAAAAUGUUUUUGAUCAAAAUCAAAUCAUGAAGUAAAUUGUCUGAGAUGUCCUUCUACUGUAGAAUCGAUUCAAUCUAUGAAAUCAUUUCAUUCAGAUGGAUAGAAGUUUAUGACUGAUAUAUUUUGUAGAGAUUAUUAAAUAACCUGAUGUAUGCAAAUGCAGAGUACUUUAUGUGUGACUUUCAUCUCCUCGUUCUCUGUCUACAGGUCUAACUGACAUUAACUUUUACAUUCUGACCUGAUUCUCUAAAGGCAUCUCAAAUGAAAUGGAGAAAAUACACACAUUCUGUGUUACACAUGAUUACUGCAUACCUGUCUUUAACUGAUAAUGAUGUAUAUGGUUGGGGGAAUGGCCAUGCUGCCACAAAUAUAUUUUUGUAUAAUUCUGUCUUAGAUGUAAUUUGAUUUCCUAAUGAUUCCUUAGGCUGUAUAAAGAGAAUAAAUGUUUAGAGGACACAUCA